This 579-nucleotide long non-coding RNA is filed under the name Monodelphis domestica (gray short-tailed opossum). RNAcentral's name for it is "lncRNA (ENSMODG00000047012.1)". Lineage: Eukaryota; Metazoa; Chordata; Mammalia; Didelphimorphia; Didelphidae. The record is from RNAcentral.
ACAGGGAGAAGUGAUGGAAGGUCACAUGGGAGCCUGAGACAAGAAUUCUAAAGUCCCAACUGAAAAACACUCUCUCUCCUAGAGAAGACUUUGGAGAAAUUGGAGGUUUUCCAUCUGUCUACCAGUUUUCUGGCCCUUUGGGAGAUAACCAGCUUGAGUGAGAGAGAUCCUGCUUGGAUUCACUGCUAGCAGCUGGACAGAAGAUCAAAAAAAUCACUUCUCUACUGGACCUACUUUGGACAUUUUCUUCUGACGAUCUUGGCUCAUAUACUGGACUCUAUUUGGAGAAAGAAUGUAAAGGGGGAGAGUGAGAACAUGGAUUGCAAAAUUGCCUCCCUGCAUGGAAUUCCCUUCACCACUGCUGGGAGCGAGUUCUGCUUGACGGGCUUUUAUAGAAAGGGCAAUAGACACAAGUACUACUCACUUGGAAGAAAUCUGUAGAGUGGAUCUGGGAAGACUUUUCUGUGAGGAAGACAGAGUGAUGCACAGACAAUUUGGAAGAGCCACAUCAAAGAGAUGCUGAUCAAACCCAGGAGGGGUUUUUGAUUAUGUGAAUGAAUAAAGCUCCAUUUUCAGAAG